AGAGGAUGCAAGUGUUAUUCGGAUUGAUUGGGCGUAAAGCGUCUGUAGGCGGUUUAGAAAGUCUUUUGUGAAAUACUUCAGCUCAACUGGAGCUCCGCAAAAGAAACUUCUAGACUUGAGGGAAGUAGAGGUACAGGGAAUUUCCGGUGGAGCGGUGAAAUGCGUAGAUAUCGGAAGGAACACCAAUAUGGCGAAGGCACUGUACUGGGCUUUACCUGACGCUAAGAGACGAAAGCUAAAGGAGUGAUUAGGAUUAGAUACCCUAGUAAUUUUAGCCGUAAACGAUGGAAACUCACUGCCGAGCCGGUAUUCGGAGCGGUGGUCAAGCUAACGCGUGAAGUUUCCCGCCUGGGGAUUACGCAUGCAAAUGUGAAACUCAAAGGAAUUGACGGGGACCCGCACAAGCGGUGGAGUAUGUGGUUUAAUUCGAUGCAACGCGAAAAACCUUACCAAGGUUUGAAAUCAUUCUAAAACUCUUUGAAAGAAGAGCCUCCUUCGGGAUAGAAUGACAGGUGGUGCAUGGCUGUCGUCAGCUCGUGUUGUGAAAUGUCAAGUUAAGUCUUGUAACGAGCGCAACCCAUGUCUUUUGUUGCUGUUUACAGUGCUUAAAAGAGACUGCCGCUCUACAGCGGAGGAAGGUGUGGAUGAUGUCAAGUCAGCAUGCCCCUUAUAUCUUGGGCUACACACGUACUACAAUGGUAGGGACAAUGAGUCGCAAACCUGCGAAGGCUAGCCAAUCUCAAAAACCCUAUCUCAGUUCGGAUUGUACUCUGCAACUCGAGUGCAUGAAGGUGGAAUCGCUAGUAAUCGCUGGUCAGCAUACAGCGGUGAAUACGUUCCCGGGUCUUGUACACACUGCCCGUCACACCAUGGAAGUCGAUCCUUCCCUAAGUCGUUACUCGAACCUUUUAGGACGAGGAUGCCGAAGGCAGGGUUGGUGACUAGGGUGAAGUCGUAACAAGGUAGCCGUACUGGAAGGUGUGGCUG
This 987-nucleotide ribosomal RNA is filed under the name marine metagenome. Its description in RNAcentral is "bacterial SSU rRNA". It matches the Rfam family "Bacterial small subunit ribosomal RNA", at positions 527 to 1520 of the family's 1533-position model. The record is from RNAcentral.